ACCUUAUAUAGAUGUAGUAACGCAAGACAGUUGCGCAUCUCCCUGUAAGGUGAUGUUUUAAUAGAAGUAUAAACAACAAGUCUCAUUGUGUGGCUACGAGUCGAAAUGAGAUGAGUUUAUAUGGAAUAGGUUAACCGUAAGACCUUGAGUUGAAAAACUCUAAAAUUAAGCUAGAAAUCUCUAGUUACGGUGGA
Molecule: non-coding RNA, 194 nt
Filed under: unclassified sequences
Description: IS605-orfB-I RNA
Rfam family: IS605-orfB-I RNA
Source: Rfam by way of RNAcentral